GUCAGAUGUUACACAAAGAAGAAAACGAGAUCAGCAACAUCGGCUCCGAGCGCUGAUGGGAACGCAGGCACGGGGCGAACACAAGGGCAUCGCGGGGACAGCCCUGGGCCACGCAGCUGAGCCUUGGUGCGGCAAGCCCAGCGAGCCAAACCCCCGGCUAACAGCUGGGACGUGUGGUUUUCCUGAAGGAUGGCAUCCCUGCCUCGAUUCUUUGCCACUUUUUUCCUAUUUUCCAUUCUCCUCACUAGAAGGAUUUUUUUUUCCACACGUUUAGCACGUCAGUGAGUUGCCUGCUUCCAUCCCCUCCACACAGAACAAAGCCUCUCCUCUAGCUCAGGUGAACUCAGCCAUCACUGCCCAGAAGCGCCCAGGCCGUACUGAGCGUGCCUCUCCUGAGCAGCGCUCCACCUGACCGGAUCCUGCACCCCAGCAGGUGAGCAGAUACCAAGGCAGAGACCGGCUUCGAGGUGAGCUGGUGCACCCCGAUCCCUGGGGCGGACUGAGCAAGGCCUGUGUUUGUUUAGGCUAGAGAGCAAGGAUGGAAGGGAGAGAGGAUGGCAGCUUUUAAAUUCGUAAAAGGCUGUUUCAGAGGGCAAGGAGCAUCCCUCGCAGCCCCCGCUGCCACAUGCAGGGGAAUGCCCUUGCACGCACCUAGGUGUGAUCCCUUUUGCCAGACGAGAUGUUUCCACACCCCCUGGUGAGCUGCAUGGAGCAGAGCAGCGCCGCUGUCCCAGAGCGCGAGCACAGCCUGGACAUGCAGGCACCACACAGUGCCUGCGCAGUGCGAUGGAAACCACCAGCCCCGUUCAGACGCCAAGGCUUUGCGGGAUGGGUCAUCUCCCCUCCUGUGGCAUCCCCCAGCAGUAUCCCCAGCCCACGCAUCUGCUUUCACAUCCUUCCAGUGUCUGGAUCUCACCAGCCCCAGCAGCUGCCAGUCCAGGAGGAGGAGGAGGACAGGGGCUGGCACCAGCAGCACACCCAGCCCUGGCUGCCCAAGUGCCCGUCUGCUCCCUGGUGUUCGUGUCAGGGUGGCCCAGAGCUGGCUGCGAGCCUACGGCAGCUGCACAGUCCCCGUGCACCCAAGGGUCCCUGCAGGUGUCCGCAGCACCAGGAGCUGCGGUGCUCGGUGCCGGCUUACCUCCACGGGGCUGCUGGAGCCCGGGCGGUGUCAGAGCAGCGCUCGGCGACUGGAGGCUACCGGGAGUCCAGGGGAAAGAGAGCAGCAAGGCAGCCCCUGCGGCUCUCCGGGCACGUGGCAGGGAUCACCAGGACAAGGAAACUCGACUGCAAGGAUCCUGUUGUCAGAGGAUGUUUUUUUUCUGUGCCAGUGCGGAAAUUUGGUGGUCCAACAGGUGAAGCAGCUUCUUAGAGAAACCUCCUGCCCUGGCAUUAAAAAGGAGAAGCUGGGUUAUUAACAGUUUCUGCCUCGCAGCUGUAGCAGCGACCAGAGCAGAAAGGAACAGCCCAACACGCCCCAAAGAGGCUGAUGUUCAGCCGCCCAGACUCACAGCAUCCUUGAGGAGCUCUGCUCUCUGCUCUCCAGGUCCUGGCUCUCGGAGAGCCACCACGGCUGGUGCGGUGACCUGCAGGCAUGGCACCCGGCAGCCAGACGGCUACGGCAGAGCCAAGGCGGGAGGCAGAGGGAAACCUCGCUGCGGAGAGAAGGCAAAGGGAACUGGCCUGGGAAGGGGCACAGGAAGAGGAGCCAGGAGCCAGGAGUGAGCUCAGCACAGCGACAGGCACGGACAGCCCACGUGGAGCAGGACGGGCGGUGCUGCCGCCCUUCACCUUCCGAGCAAGGCAGCAGCCGGCCGGGCAGAGCCGAGGUUUCCCCCCCAGAAAGCAGAGGGCUCUUCCCCGCCACCCCGCCAGCCUUCCGCCCGCUCAGCCUCCGCUGCGUAAGGUCACCCCAGCGCCCCGCUCGUUAGCAGGAGGCCAGGAUUUGCCCUUUGAUUUAUUUAUGCACUGACAAAGACUCAAAAGUGUUGGAAGUGCAAUUUUUCACCACCAACUAAAAAUAGCCGAGUGAAAUUCCAGAGCUGCCUUUCAGCGCUGCCGGCUGCGCUCGGCUUACCAGGACAAUGGCAUUUGUAGGCUGCUAGCACCAACAGCACAGGCUGGGCUCCAGCUCCCUAAAUAACAAGCUAUAAAGGGCAAAAUCUGUCUUUGAUUACAGCUGUGCAAAAAGCAGCGAUUAAAAAGACCAUUAUCCAAAUACCUGAACGUGAGGUGCCAGCUUAAAACCGAGCCUGGGAAUGCUGUAAGAGUGGCAGGGACUUACUGUACAUGAAGUAAAAACGCAGCCAGCGUUACCGAGAGCAGAAGGCGCGUGCGGUUAAGCAUUUAGAAGGGCUGAAGCCCUCGGGCAC
This 2369-nucleotide long non-coding RNA is filed under the name Anser brachyrhynchus (Pink-footed goose). RNAcentral describes it as "lncRNA (ENSABRG00000021406.1)". The record is from RNAcentral. Lineage: Eukaryota; Metazoa; Chordata; Aves; Anseriformes; Anatidae.